Pieris rapae (cabbage white) is the source of this 3151-nucleotide RNA transcript. It is a transcript of the gene named tropomodulin-1, with no coding region annotated. The record is from RefSeq and is a predicted model, not a curated record. The transcript has 12 exons. Lineage: Eukaryota; Metazoa; Arthropoda; Insecta; Lepidoptera; Pieridae.
CAGUUUUCCAGUAGGAUUCUGGGCAAGAUCAGCACUAGCCGUCUCCUCCGUCGUUGUAACAAACUUGCAUUGAUCCGCGAUACACAGUAUGCCUUGAAGAGAUGCCGUCAUAAAUGGCAUGGCUCUUGUUGUGUUGGUGCAGUGCUUUAAAAGUGCGAAAUAAGUGAACGGUGUAAAUUAAGUUAACCAUAAUGACGGAGUUCUUUGGAUCAUGGAACAAAGGCGACGAGGAGGUGGAGGAGACUGUGGAGACAGUGGAAACAAUCACAAGGACUACGCGUCGUGUCCAAUCCCCAUCAAAGUCGUCAAGUACGAAAACGACGACAAUGACGACACCGGCCAAGUUGUACGGCAGAGAAUUGUCCACAUACGAUGAAAUUGAUGUCGACGAACUUUUAUCGAAGUUGACACAAGAAGAGCUGACUAUGCUCGCUAAGGAAGUAGACCCCGACGACACAUUUUUACCACCAUCACAAAGGACAAACUAUGCAUGUGAAAAGGAUCCCACUGGUCCGCUGAAUCGUAAGAAAUUGAUUGAACAUAUUAAUAAGCAGGCACUAGAGACGCCUGAUAGGCCAGAGGUGAAACCAUAUGUUGCCGGUGUUGUUAGAGGGAAAAAGUGGAUUCCACCGCCACCUCCAGAAAAAGUUCGUGAUGCAGAUGAACAAAUUACAAUAGAUCUAGGUGAUGAAUAUGAGCAGGCACUCACCUCCGCCUCACAGGAGGAAAUCAUCGACCUCGCCGCUAUUCUCGGGUUCCACUCCAUGAUGAAUCAGGACCAGUACCACGCCUCAUUAUUAAACAAGGGGCAACCUGUUGGCCUCGGAUGGGACGGCAUCACAAAAGCGACUAAACCGAAGGUGUACCCAAUGGACCCACCAAACGACACAGACCCCGAAGAUACCAUCAAAAGGGUGAAGGAGAAUGACCAGAAUCUGACAGAUCUCAAUUGGAAUAAUAUUAAGAACAUAAGCGACGAGAAAUUCGAAAAACUCUUCGAAGGGUUAAAAACAAAUACACAUUUGGAAGUUCUGUCGCUGGUUAACGUGGGCCUGAACGACCGCACGGCCCAACUUUUGGCCGACGCCUUGGAACAGAACACCACUUUGCGAGUGGUCAAUGUGGAGACUAACUUUAUCAGCCCCCCUGGUGUUGUCCAAUUGGUUAAAUCCCUGCUUACAACGACCACUGUUGAGGAGUUCCGGGCUUCAAACCAGCGGUCGCAAGUCCUCGGCAACAAGAUUGAGAUGGAGAUAACGAAGUUGGUGGAAGCGAAUCCCACUUUGCUCCGACUGGGUUUGCACCUGGAGUACAGCGACGCCCGCCAUCGCGUCGCCAGCCAUCUGCAGAGGAACAUCGACAGAAAUUGCCGAGUACAAAAGCGCACUAGCGUGUCCCUGCGACUACGCCUGCCCGGCCGGCCGCCCGCGGUGGGCGUCGACGCUAGCUUGUUGAACCUCACGCCGCCCAGCGCCGAAACACCCACGCCCACUAAAGAAACGGUAAUGCCGGUCCGCGACGAAAGCGUCGAAAACACAAUCCUCAUACCGGCAGACAUUGUUCAGGAGCAGAACGGACGUAGCCCGACGACCACGCAAUUGCCCGACUUUAACCCAAAUCCAUACUCUACGGAAAGACCUAACGCUACGACUCCAGUUCAGGUUCUUUAACAACCUGCAAAAGGGCGCGCGUAGCCAAUAGAUUAAGUACGCCAGCAGCGACGGAGCCAGAAUAGCGCUUAGAAGACGCAACGACACGUGCGGUGGCAGAGCUCUUCGCUUGACCCGAUGCACCCGCAGUCGUAGCUACGUUGUGGGUUGGAUCCCGUGAACUCGAGUAUACAGACAUAUAAACACAAAUUCUGCGCGUAAAUAGCGAACAUCAUGCGAAUAUAUUUUUAAUUUACGCAUUUUAAAGGUUUAAAAAUCGAGUACAAGUCAAUAAUGACCGGUUUUUUUGUGUUUAUAUGUCUCUGUCUUAGCUAAACUCGCCCGCAGUCGCUGCCUUUACGCUGUCCAUACUCUUUGUAACUGUGUAGUUGAUAAAUUUUUGGUGCGCCUCGUGCCCACUUAGGCUUCGCGUUCACUUUCGUCUCUUUCUGUCAAUUACUAUAUUCGCUAAGAUGGAAAGAGACAGAUAAUUGCUUUUGGUGGAACAAAAUAAGGCUGGUGUUUACGAAAGCUUGUUCUAACUAUUGAAAUGCAGAUUUAAUCGCGUAUGGAAUUAGGUCCGUAGCUUUACGUACACGUGCGUUGGUGCUCGUAUAUUUAUUUCUAGCUAUUUUUAUAUCACUUUUUAACAUUUGACUACACAAGGACAAAGAUCACGGACAGUUAUUUUAAUAGGGAAUGUUUGGUACAAAUUGUGAUUUUAUUUUGGACCGGUAUAUCUGGAUGGCAGGUCCGAGCCUAGACUAUGGGUAACAAAAUAAAAUCAUACGAUUUGUUUGAAUGAAAGUAUGUUUAUUAAUUCUUAGCGUGUUAAUGAAAUCGUAUUAAUUUUAUCAUUUUAAUGAAUUGUAAUAUAUUGUAAGUUUACAUUCCGUUAACGCUAAACAUGCUUCUCUACUGACCUGCAACUGUUUUCACACAAAUUGAUAUAACUCCAACCGGCCAUUGUCUGUGUUUGUACAAAUUCUUAUUACAAAUGAAAUAAUUUAUAAUACAAUUUCUAUACAUAUAAGUUUGUAAUUAAGUGAGAAGUUAUGUUCCGCGUAAACGGAAAACUAAGUUUUUAAAUUUCAUAAAGUAGUAGGUUCUAUUAUCGCAGAUUCUUUUAGUUACUUUAUAGUUAAAGUCGAGUUAUUUUCAGGCUUUCGAUGUCGGCUUUGUAACAUUUAGCUUAUGAUGCUAAUUAUUGUAACUGUAUAUUAGUAGAAGGAUCCUGGAAUCCAUAACGUUGUGAUAAACAUCUUUUUUUCCAAUAAAUUGCUUGUUUUUUUUUCAUUUUAAUUUCGAUUUUUGGCAUCAAAUGGAAAUUGAGCCGAAUUGUAUAUGAAUUUUAGAUUUUUUAUGUACCUAUAAUGAUAUAAAAUUUUAUUAUUAUAGAUUUUAUUUAUACUUUUGACGUAAGCAUUUUGAUUCAACGACAACCUCGAAGUAGAGUCGCAGUUCUGUAGUUUGUGACAAAAUGUAAUAAAAUCAAUUAUUCA